UGAGUAAUGUAUCGGAACGUGCCCAGUAGCGGGGGAUAACUACGCGAAAGCGUAGCUAAUACCGCAUACGCCCCACGGGGGAAAGCAGGGGAUCGCAAGACCUUGCACUAUUGGAGCGGCCGAUAUCGGAUUAGCUAGUUGGUGGGGUAAUGGCUCACCAAGGCGACGAUCCGUAGCUGGUUUGAGAGGACGACCAGCCACACUGGGACUGAGACACGGCCCAGACUCCUACGGGAGGCAGCAGUGGGGAAUUUUGGACAAUGGGGGAAACCCUGAUCCAGCCAUCCCGCGUGUGCGAUGAAGGCCUUCGGGUUGUAAAGCACUUUUGGCAGGAAAGAAAUGGCGUGUGCUAAUACCAUGCGCAGAUGACGGUACCUGCAGAAUAAGCACCGGCUAACUACGUGCCAGCAGCCGC
Molecule: ribosomal RNA, 415 nt
Filed under: uncultured Achromobacter sp.
Lineage: Bacteria; Pseudomonadati; Pseudomonadota; Betaproteobacteria; Burkholderiales; Alcaligenaceae
Description: bacterial SSU rRNA
Rfam family: Bacterial small subunit ribosomal RNA
Source: RNAcentral